GCAGUGGGGAAUUUUGGACAAUGGGCGCAAGCCUGAUCCAGCAAUGCCGCGUGAGUGAAGAAGGCCUUCGGGUUGUAAAGCUCUUUUGUCAGGGAAGAAACGGCUGAGGUUAAUACCUUUGGCUAAUGACGGUACCUGAAGAAUAAGCACCGGCUAACUACGUGCCAGCAGCCGCGGUAAUACGUAGGGUGCAAGCGUUAAUCGGAAUUACUGGGCGUAAAGCGUGCGCAGGCGGUUUUGUAAGUCUGACGUGAAAUCCCCGGGCUCAACCUGGGAAUUGCGUUGGAGACUGCAAGGCUAGAAUCUGGCAGAGGGGGGUAGAAUUCCACGUGUAGCAGUGAAAUGCGUAGAGAUGUGGAGGAACACCGAUGGCGAAGGCAGCCCCCUGGGUCAAGAUUGACGCUCAUGCACGAAAGCGUGGGGAGCAAACAGGAUUAGA
This 439-nucleotide ribosomal RNA is filed under the name uncultured bacterium. RNAcentral describes it as "bacterial SSU rRNA". It matches the Rfam family "Bacterial small subunit ribosomal RNA", at positions 351 to 782 of the family's 1533-position model. The record is from RNAcentral.